AGCAUUGUGGCGCAGUGGGUCAGUGCAUCUGGCUGUUAAUGAGAAGGUUGAUGGUUUGAGCCCACCCGGGGACAGCUG
Non-coding RNA from Podarcis lilfordi (Lilford's wall lizard), 78 nucleotides. NCBI's taxonomy places the organism in Eukaryota, Metazoa, Chordata, Lepidosauria, Squamata, Lacertidae. The record is from the annotation of a GenBank genome assembly.